GAUGAACGCUGGCGGCGUGCCUAAUACAUGCAAGUCGAGCGAACAGACGAGGAGCUUGCUCCUCUGACGUUAGCGGCGGACGGGUGAGUAACACGUGGAUAACCUACCUAUAAGACUGGGAUAACUUCGGGAAACCGGAGCUAAUACCGGAUAAUAUAUUGAACCGCAUGGUUCAAUAGUGAAAGACGGUUUUGCUGUCACUUAUAGUUGGAUCCGCGCCGCAUUAGCUAGUUGGUAAGGUAACGGCUUACCAAGGCGACGAUGCGUAGCCGACCUGAGAGGGUGAUCGGCCACACUGGAACUGAGACACGGUCCAGACUCCUACGGGAGGCAGCAGUAGGGAAUCUUCCGCAAUGGGCGAAAGCUUGACGGAGCAACGCCGCGUGAGUGAUGAAGGUCUUCGGAUCGUAAAACUCUGUUAUUAGGGAAGAACAAAUGUGUAAGUAACUAUGCACGUCUUGACGGUACCUAAUCAGAAAGCCACGGCUAACUACGUG
This 497-nucleotide ribosomal RNA is filed under the name uncultured bacterium. Its description in RNAcentral is "partial 16S ribosomal RNA". It matches the Rfam family "Bacterial small subunit ribosomal RNA", at positions 28 to 507 of the family's 1533-position model. The record is from RNAcentral.